This 589-nucleotide ribosomal RNA is filed under the name uncultured bacterium. Its description in RNAcentral is "partial 16S ribosomal RNA". It matches the Rfam family "Bacterial small subunit ribosomal RNA", at positions 355 to 1375 of the family's 1533-position model. The record is from RNAcentral.
UGGGGAAUUUUGGACAAUGGGCGAAAGCCUGAUCCAGCAAUGCCGCGUGUGUGAAGAAGGCCUUCGGGUUGUAAAGCACUUUUGUCCGGAAAGAAAUCCUUGGCUCUAAUACAGUCGGGGGAUGACGGUACCGGAAGAAUAAGCACCGGCUAACUACGUGCCAGCAGCCGCGGUAAUACGUAGGGUGCAAGCGUUAAUCGGAAUUACUGGGCGUAAAGCGUGCGCAGGCGGUUUGCUAAGACCGAUGUGAAAUCCCCGGGCUCAACCUGGGAACUGCAUUGGUGACUGGCAGGCUAGAGUAUGGCAGAGGGGGGUAGAAUUCCACGUGUAGCAGUGAAAUGCGUAGAGAUGUGGAGGAAUACCGAUGGCGAAGGCAGCCCCCUGGGCCAAAUACUGACGCUCAUGCACGAAAGCGUGGGGGAGCAAAACAGGAUUAGAUACCCUGGGUAGUCCACGCCCUAAACGAUGUCAACUAGUUGUUGGGGAUUCAUUUCCUUAGUAACGUAGCUAACGCGUGAAGUUGACCGCCUGGGGAGUACGGUCGCAAGAUUAAAACUCAAAUGAAUUGACGGGGUCAUAGCUGUUUCCU